This 257-nucleotide ribosomal RNA is filed under the name uncultured bacterium. RNAcentral describes it as "partial 16S ribosomal RNA". It matches the Rfam family "Bacterial small subunit ribosomal RNA", at positions 793 to 1055 of the family's 1533-position model. The record is from RNAcentral.
GUCCACGCCGUAAACGAUGGAUACUAGCUGUUGGGGCAACUUCAGUGGCUAAGCGAAAGUGAUAAGUAUCCCACCUGGGGAGUACGUUCGCAAGAAUGAAACUCAAAGGAAUUGACGGGGGCCCGCACAAGCGGUGGAGCAUGUGGUUUAAUUCGAUGAUACGCGAGGAACCUUACCAAGGCUUAAAUGUAGAUUGACCGGUUUUGGAAACAGACUUUUUCGCAAGACAAUUUUACAAGGUGCUGCAUGGUUGUCGU